RNAcentral lists this long non-coding RNA (33441 nucleotides) under Vitis vinifera (wine grape). RNAcentral's name for it is "long non-coding RNA (VVIN_LNC002722)". The record is from RNAcentral. Lineage: Eukaryota; Viridiplantae; Streptophyta; Magnoliopsida; Vitales; Vitaceae.
UUUUUCUUAAAGUCCGCAGGAAAAAAAGAGUCUGGGGUAGAGGUUUGGAGAGGAGAAAAAAAAAAAAAAAACGAAGGGGUUUUCUAAAAUGGAGGUGGAGAAAUUCUGGUAAAGAGGGCUGGUCAUUUUAUCAACUGUAGGAGGGAAGCAUAUUCAGGUAUGAUCAUGACAGAUUCAUUGUUAUUCUUCAAUAUCAUGGAGUUCUUCCUUUUCUCUUGCCAUCUAUGGGUAUCAUUGCUAUGGUCUGAAUGUGGAUAUCUUGCACGUUUGAUUUCUGUUGAUCUUUGAGAUGACAUGGUUUUCUUGCUAUUGUCCUAUCUGCUAUUCUUUUUUUUUUUUAUGAUAGAAAGCAACCUGAUUUUGUUUCAUCCUACUGUGAAAUAUCUGAGAACCAUGUCUUUGAUUCUUAUCUGAACCUAUGAUAUCUCUCACUUGCUUUGGAAGCCCAUUGACAACCCAUGGAAUGGGGCUGCAUUUAAUGGAAUCUUUUGGCCCGUUUAUUUUUACUUUGUUGUUGUUGCUAUCCCCUUAUGCAACUUCUCUACUUCUAAACCCAUUUUUGGGCCCGUGAGGCUGGAACUCCCGUCACUCUGAUACUUGAAAAUUGAUUUAGGUGGCUGAGACCACCCUCUUCGUUGCCAUCUUCACUUGGGUCUAUCAAUGGUUUUAUUCAAUCUUCACCAUUCUGUGUAGUUGCAAUUGAAAUAUCUUUCACCAUGAAAUAAUGGCCAUGUUCGCUGAAUAUUCUGGAAAUUCAAGUGGAUAGUUGCUGAAAUUGUAAUCAAACCACACUGAAAUUCAAUGAAAUUGGAACACAUUGAUAUAUGAAUGUAUUGAUUUAAUGUGGCUGGUUGUGAUCAUGAUAACAAUCUGUGUAUUUUUUUAUUUUAAUGUUUAAAGUGGAUGGAAAUUUAGUAUAGUGGCAUAGGUAAAUAUAAGUGACUGAAAAAUUCAAAGGUGUGCAUGUGAAGAUCCCAUGGUUGUUGAAGUAAUAUUCUUGACCGAAUUAAAGAGGUUGCGUGGCUGAAAGUUGGUGUUGUUGAUGAAGAAUUCAAUGGCCAAAAAUUUAUGGUGAAAAUGUAAUGAAGGAAAGACGAAUCCCGGUGACUGCAGGUACAUGAAUUUGGAGUCUGGUUCUGUUAUAAAUAAUAGGAAAUUCUGAUGGUCAGGCAACGCUAUGUUUGUGGCUGCAUAUGCGUAAGCUCACGGCUAAAAUUCAGGUGGAGGUACACUAAGGUUUUACAUAAUGUAAUCUGCUCAAAUUUCAAGGAUUGAAUAUGGAGAUUUUAAGGAUGAAAUUCAUGCCGCAUUGGUGAGUUUUAAUGGAGGAAGUGGCAGCAUGUGUGAAUUUUGUGGUCUAAAAUCAAUGGAGUAAGGUUUUGGUGGAUAGAUAAGGACAUAAGGUUGCAUAGGUGUGCUGAAUCUCCGGGCUGAACUUGUGGAUGUGGAUAGAAACUUUCUCAUGGCUGAAAAUUCAUAGUGAAAUGUGCUGAAAAUUUGGUGAAGGACCAUUUAUAAACGAGCUGGAAGUUAUGGCUGAAAGUUUGCUUUAAUUCAAAAUGGAAAUAUACUUGAGUUUUAAUAAAUUUGAGGUUUGCAUAGAAGAAAGUUGAUAGCUGAAAUUCUAUUGAAAUUAUCCAUGAUUUAGGUAUGGCCUUAAUGAAGAGUGAGGCUGAUUUUUUAAUGGUUGAAUAUGCAGCCACUAACGAAGCUUUGUGCAAGCCGACCAUGACAAAGUUAAUGACUAUUUGUAUGAGUGGCUGAAAUUUGAUUGCGUAUGUGAUUGUGGCUAGCGACCAUGUGUGUUAGUAUUUUAGAUUUUAGAUAUCAAAUAAGUUAGUGCGAUCAAUAUGUGAUGAUUUCUUCAAAAUGUACGUAGAUAAAUAUAAUGGUUGAUUUUUUUUAAGGUAAAAUUUGUGUAGAAGGUUAAUUAAAAUUAGAUUUUUUAACACUUAGGUUUUAGCUUUUUUUUUUUAAUGUUAAUAGGAAAGUUAGUAUUUUUUUUUAAAAUAUUAUUUUUAAUGUAAAUAAACGUUGGAGAUUUAAAAAUUUUAGUUUUCAAUAGUAAUGAAAGAAUUGAAUUUUGCUUAUUUUUAGUUUUAGAUAUUAUUUUAAUAUAGAUAAAAGUUAGAGCAAUUAAAAUUUUAGUUUUAGUUAAAUUUCUUAUGAGAAUGAAAAGUUGGAGUCUUUAAAUCUUUAGUUUAAUUGGGUGAUUAAAGCUAAAGUUAUUUUUACUAGAUUAAUUAGUCAUAUGGUAAAAUGCCUUUUCUAAAUUAGUUUUAAUUUAAUUUAUUUCAUUUAGUUGAUUAGAGUAUUUUAGGUUUUUUUAAAGUUCAUUAAGUUUUUUUUAGCUGUAUGGUAAAAAAAAAAAUGUUUUUUUCUAGUUCACUAUUUCACUAGGUCAUUGUUAAUAAUUCUCAGCGUUAAACAUUUUAUUAUGGUCAUGCAUGGCCACCUUUGGCAUGCGAGUCCCACCAACUACGUACCAUCCUUCUCUUUUAUUUAUUUAUUUAAUUUUUUUUUUUAUUCUCGCGUGUCAAAAUAUAAUUUUCAAAACUCCUAUCUUCACGUUUCGACUUUCAAAAAUAAUUUUCCAAAAUUCCAAUUUUCCAAAAAUUUCUAUUUUCAAAAUAAUCUUCCAAAAUUUCAUUUUUUAAGUUUAAUUUUUUAAAAUUCCAUUCUCAAAGUCCCCAUUUUCCAAAUUCCCAAUUUUCCAAAAUUCCAUUUAUCAAAAUAAUCCUUCCAAAUUUUCAAUUUUUUUUAAAAUUUAAUUUUUCAAAAUUCCAUUCUCGAAAUUCCCAUUUUCCAAAAUUCAAAAUUUAUUUAUUUAUUCAUUUUUAUUUUAUUUUAUUUUAAAUUAUUUUUUAUUUAUUUGUUUUGAAAAUACCAUUCUCAAAGAGAUUUCCAAACUUUUUUUAAAUUCCACUUCCGAAAUUUCAAAUCUAAUUUUCAAAAUUCCUCUUUUCAAAUUUUUUUUAUAUAAAAGUGAAUAAGUUUUCAUAAUUCUAAAAUGAUGGAAUUUAUGAGAAUUAAUUCAUAGCGAAAAUUAAUUGGGCUUUGGUGGGGGCCCGACAUUCAUAACAUUUUUUUCGAAAAUAAUUCAAGUAAGUUAUGCUCUCCAUUUUGUUUGAUUUUGAUUUGGUUUUGUUUGAGAUUUUUUACACUUGUCAUUGUACACUAACCUUAUUUUCAUGACAGCGCUUUAUUACCUAUUACUAAGGUACACUCUCACUCUCACUUCGUUUAUCAUUUCGUCAUCAUGACUUAUUUUUGAACUAUGAUCAUUUUGGUAUCCAUUGAUCUUCUAGUUAAUUGCCAUGUCUGGUUCACCUUAUUUAGUAGAGACCCAUUUUUUAGGGGCUUAAAGGGGUGCUAUGGUCUUUACCGUACCUUCCCAAUAAGUAACCUGAUCCCCGAACCCAGACUCAGGUUUUUCGCAGACAGCUUUUCCAAAAACAAAAUCAGGAGUCCAUUUAGGGGUUUUGUUCUUACUUGUUUUCCCCUUUAAAAAUAAAUAAAAGUAAGUGGCGACUCCAAGUCUUUUCUAAGAAACAUAUUUUUCACCAAAUAAAUGAAAAGCGAGUCUCGCCGAUCGAGUGGGAACGCAUCAUUAAAAAUACGGGGUCCACACAAGUAUAAUAAAAAAUGAUGUCUAUAUAUUAAUAUGAGAAAGUACAAUAUGAGAUAUCAUCAAGUAAUACAUCCAAUCCCAUAAUAUAAAGCAUCAAAACAAGGAACAAUCUCCACUAAUAUAAUAUGUAAAUACAAUAAGAUAAAGAAAUGUCCUAUGAUCAAGUAGUGGGAGCCUCAGGUGGAGAUGAUGCAUCCUCAGGUAUAGUUGUGACUGUGUCAAUUGUCUGAGGCUUAUCCUGAGGAUCAACUGAAGCAAUGGCAUCUGUGGUGGCCUCCUGAGGUGGCGGGAUCUGGACCUCUACUGUGGUAGUGUCCUCAGCUGGAAUAGUAUCCUUAGCUGUAGCUAAAGGCUUUGAUGAUGUAGGAAGGUUAGGCUGAGGUGGAAGUAGAAGACCCAGGUGCUGCUGGAUCUAGCGAAGUAUAGCAGUCUGCUGGUUCUGCUGGGAACGCAUCUUAGCCAUCUGUUGGAAGAGAGCGGUGUGUGUGGUGGAUAGUGUCUGCAAGGUAGGUACAAGGCCGCGAAACUUCAAAGCAGAGAUGGUGAUGGAAGGCUUGGAUGUAGUAGGAGCAACAGAUGGAACAGUAGGAGUCAUAGGGGGAGCAGCAGAAACAGCCUCAGGCAUGGGCACUGGUGGUGCUGAAGUAGGUGAUGCAGGGGCAGGUCGUUUAGUCUCUGUCGGAAGCUCUCCCCGCGUUGUAGGUACUGGAGUAGAUUGUGCAUGCUCCGUCUGCAGGGGCUUUGGAGGUGCUACCAUGAGAUGGGCUCCUGGAGGUGCAAAAUAGCCCGCCAACUGAUUCCAUUUGUCAAGAGUGAAUUGCUCUCAACAAAUACGACGACGUUCUUGCUGAGGCUCAGUAGGAAAACCCAUAUGCUCCAAGAUUUGGCAAAGCAACCUCGGGAAUAGCAAUGGAAUGGUGUCCGCCCUCUAAAGCUUUUUCCUAUGGACCUUCUCCUCAAAGUGGACGAGGGAGGCCACGAUUAAGUGGUGUGGGCCAAAGUAGAAGCCCUUUGAUAUGCGGAACAAAGCAUCCAAGAUAGCUCAUCGCCUCUGUACUGAAUGUUGUAGGGGAAAGAGGUUGGAGCGUAGCACCACAUCUACGAGGAGCAUCCCAGGUGGAAGCUCCUUUUGAAGAAUGAUCGAAUCUGUAGAGGUCCUCCUGGAUAAAAUGCGGACCAUGUCCUUCUGAGAUACUGGGGAGACCACCGGCGGAAAGCAGAUGGAUCAAGUGGCUCGAAAGGAAUAUGUAGAGCCUCUGCAAUAUCUCUGACCUCAAGGAUACCAUGACGUCCAUCAAUGGUGAAGUGAAUCGAGGUCGGACUCGGGACGCCACGAGUAGUCAUGGAUUGUUAAAUGUCUAAUGCUAAUCUGGGAUAAAAAAACUCACAAGGAGUCAUAAGCUGCUUAAGAUAGUACCUCUGUAGUAGGCUAUAAGAGUCUCGGAGCUCAGGCUUCUAUCGGAAGGCCUCCUAAUCAAAAUAGAACUUCGAGUGGAAAGGUCUUGAUCUGUAAUCUGAGUUGCCCUCAAUGGGAGGUGCUGUGAGCAUCGGGCGUCUGAUAAUAGACCCCGGUGACAUGUCGAAAGGAAGCUCAGAAUCUACAGGAGCUCGACCAUGUGUAGCAACAGGAGGCUCAAGCUGUGAAGCUCUAGAUGACUCGCCUGAGCCUAAAGUCUUGGCCUUCUUGGUAGGAGGGCACCGCACUGAACUCUAAGGGCGCGAAGCAGUCGCCCCUUGUGUAGUAGCUGGUCUCCUAGUCUCAUACCUGCGCUGAAAAGCAAAAAAUGAAGGACUAAUGAGCGAUCCACCAUCAGAAGGGGGAAUCUGCGAGGCCUCUAUGGUGGCCUCCUGAGGUGGCGAAUCACAAGGCACCCGAGCAGAUGAGGCUCUCUGCCUCGUAGCGUGACUCUACAAAGGGGUAGCAGGAGCCCCUCGGGUCCUUGCCAUAUGGAAAUGGAGAAAUGGGCCUCGGGUCUGUGCUCGAAGGGGGGGUGUCGAAUGGGAGAUAAACGGAGGAGUGAGAUGCAAGNNNNNNNNNNNNNNNNNNNNNNNNNNNNNNNNNNNNNNNNNNNNNNNNNNNNNNNNNNNNNNNNNNNNNAAGUUGUUAAUCUAAGGGGGGGGGGGGGGGGGGGGGGGGGAGGGGAGUGUGAACAGAGGGUGGAACCAGAAUAGAGGCACGGGGUGACACUUAUUAUUUGAGAAGGGUUUCGCAUACCCUGCGAAAUUUUCGCAAGGGUGUGCAAAAUGCCUUAGUGAAUUUUUUCUUCAGGGUUUUUCCUCUGCCAAGAAUCUUUAAGGACAUGCCCAAUUGCUUUGAAGUUCCCCUUGAAAUUGAUAAUAAAAAACCUAAGUUAAAUCAAACCAAAAUUAAAUUAAAGUGAGAAAUCAAAAUCAAAACAAGUUACAAUACAAGAAAACUCUCUAAUAAAAAAUAAAACAAAAAGAUAUGGACUUGAUAGUCUUUAGAAAUGCUAAGUCCAUCCAAAAACUGGUCUUGUCAAGCUUGAUGUGGAUCAAGGAGUAUGAAUUCCUCUUUGUCACGAGAAAAAGGCUCCACAAAGGGCUUGAGACAAUGACCAUUCAUUUUGAAGCUACUGGUGUUGUUGGAGUUGAGUAGUUCCACUACUCCAUUUGAAUGCACUUGGUGAAUGGUAAAAUGACCUAUCCACCUUAAUUUCAGCUUGCCCGGAAAGAUGUGGAGCUUAGAGUCAUAAAAUAAGACUCUUUGUCCAUUUUGAAAAUCUUUGCGGGAAACUAACUAAUCAUGCCACCUCUUCAAUCUCUCUUUUGCAAUUUUUGAAUUGAUGUAGGCAUCAUUUCUCAGUUCCUCCAACUCACUGAGGUCUAAGAACCUCUUCAUUCCAGCUUUGCUCAAAUCCAUGUUGAGCUUCUUGAUUGCCCACCAAGCUUUGUAUUCCAAUUCCACAGGGAGAUGACAUGCUUUGUCAUAGACUAGGCGAUAAGGAGACAUCCCAAGAAUGGUCUUGUAAGCUGUUCUAUAUGCCCAUAGUGAAUCAAAGAGCUUGGCAGACCAAUCUUUUCUGUUCGUGUUCACCACCUUCAUCAAUAUGUUUUUAAUCUCCCAGUUUGCUAACUCAACUUGCCCACUAGUUUGAGGGUGGUAAGGUGUAGCUACCUUAUGCUUCACCCCAUACUUGGUUAGGAGAGUUUCAAAAGGCUUGUUGCAAAAAUGAGUACCCCCAUCACUAAUUAUGGCUUUGGGUACCCCAAAUCUUGAGCAAAUGUUUUCCUUGAGAAACUUGAGAACCACUCUAUGGUCAUUGUGCUUGGAUGGGACUGCCUCAACCCACUUAGAAACAUAAUCUACUCCCACCAAGAUGUAAGAGUAGCCAAAAGACAUAGAGAAUGGUCUCAUGAAGUCAAUGCCCCAAACACAAAAAAGAUCAACUAUCAAAAUGGGGUUCAAAGGCAUCAUGUUCUUGCGUGUCAACUUUCCAACCCUCUGACAUCGAUCACAACUCUUGCACAUAGUGUGGGCAUCUUUGAAAAGUGAUGGUCAACAGAAACCCGAUUGCAACACCCUCAUGGCUGUCUUCUGAGAAGCAAAGUGGCCUCCACAUGCAUUUUCAUGGAAAUGACUGAGGGUCCCCUGUUGCUCUUCUUCAGGAACACACUUCCUUAUUAUCUGAUCCACACAGUACUUGAAUAGAAAUGGCUCUUCCCAAUAGUAGGCAUGGAUUUUUGCAAAGAAGUACUUCUUAUCUUAUGCUUUCCACUCACUUGGAACUUUUCCUAUGACUAGGUAGUUAGCAAUAUGAGCAUACCAAGGAGCAACUUCCACCAACAUAAGAGACUCAUCUGGAAAAUCAUCAUUGAUGGGCAAACCAUGGGAAUUAUGUGCGAUAGCUAGCCUUGAAAGGUGGUCUACUACCACAUUCUCUACUUUUUUCUUGUCUUUGAUCUGGAGAUCGAACUCUUGAAGCAAGAAGAUCCAUCUAAUUAGCCUUGCUUUAGCAUCUUGCUUAGUCAACAGAUACUUCAAAGCAGAGUAAUAAGUGAAAACCACAAUGAAGGACCCCACCAAGUAAGCCCGAAACUUAUCCAAGGCAAAAACUAAAGCUAACAAUUCUUUCUCGGUGGUUGUGUAGUUUCUUUGCCCCUCAUUCAAUGUCUUGCUCCCAUAGUAGAUCACAUAGGGUUUUCCAUCUUCUCUUUGCCCAAGAACAACUCCUAUGGCAAAGUCAUUGGCAUCACACAUUACCUCAAAGGGCAGUUGCCAGUUAGGAGCCCUCACUAUUGGUGCGAUUGUCAGAAAUAGCUUCAAUUCUUCAAAACUCCUUUGGCAUCUAUCAUCCCAUAUGAAUUUAGCAUCCUUCACCAAUAGUUUACAAAGGGGCCUUGCAAGCUUAGAGAAAUCUUUGAUAAACCUCCUAUAGAACCCGGCAUGGCCAAUGAAUUGCCUUACUCCUUUAACAUUUGUUGGGGAUGGCAACUUGACAAUGAGUUCAACCUUUGCUUUGUCAACUUCAAUGCCUUGCUUGGAGAUGAUGUGCCUAAGGACAAUCCCUUGUUGUACCAUGAAAUGACACUUCUCCCGAUUAAGCACUAAGCCUUUCUCAAUGCAUCGAUUCAGAACAGCUUCUAAAUUGACCAAGCAUUCAUCAAAUGCACUUCCAUAUAUGGUGAUAUCAUCCAUAAAGACUUCCAUAAUACGCUUCAAUAUAUCACUGAAAAUGCUUAACAUGCAUUUUUGGAAAGUUGCGGGUGCAUUGCAUAAGUCGAAAGGCAUUCUCCUAUAUGCAUAGGUGCCAAAUGGGCAUGUGAAAGUGGUAUUCUCCUGGUCUUCAACAUCAAUUUCUAUCUGAAAGUACCCGGAGUAUCCAUCCAAGAAACAAUAAAAAGGAUGCCUAGAGACCCUCUCAAGCACUUGAUCAAUAAAGGGCAACGGGAAAUGGUCAUUCCUUGUCACUGCAUUCAAUCUCCUGUAAUCGAUACACACCCUCCAACCUGUAGUGAGGUAUGUAGAGACAUCUUCUCCCUUAUUAUUUUGCACCACCAUGAUCCCAGACUUCUUUGGCACAACUUGAGUAGGACUCACCCAUAGGCUAUCUGAUAUGGGGUAGAUAAUACCGACCUGAAGCAGCUUAAGAACUUCAGCUCGCACCACCUCUUGCAUGUGAGAGUUCAACCUUCUCUGAGGUUGCUGAACUGGCUUAGCUUCAUCCUUCAUGUAAAUAUGAUGGGUGUAGACUAAAGGGCUGAUCCCUUUCAAAUCAGAAAUUUGCCACCCUAUUGCCUUUUUACAUCUUCUAAGGACUUUAAGUGGACAAUCCUCCUGAUGAAUGGUAAGAGCUGAAGAUAUAACAACAAGGCACUGCUUGUCUUCUUCCAAGUAUGCAUACUUCAGCUCUAUGGGUAGUGGCUUAAGAAUAACUUUUGGGGGCUCCUCCUUAGCAGCUCUUUGUGUCUCAUCCUUAUUGAUUAAGGGUAGAAUUUCUUCUUUCCUCCUCCAAAGAGACAAGGUAGUAAGCAAAUCUAAGGGCUUAGGUAACUCUUCAUCAAGAUCCUCAAGACUCUCAAUCAAAUCCUCCUGUAUUCUCUUAUCACAAUGCCCCUCCACUAAAGUGUCAAUCAUGCACGCUUCCUUUGGACCUUCUUCUUUUUCCGGAUGGAUAUGCUUUUUACACAAAUGGAAGAUGUUGAACUCUAAUGUCAUGUUGCCAAACAUGAGUUUCAUGACUCCAUUCCUACAAUUGAUGAUUGCAUUUGAUGUAGCUAGGAAUGGUCUUCCAAGUAUAAUAGGAACAUAAUUAGUUCCUUUGACAAUCGGAUCCACAUCAAGAAUAACAAAAUCCACUGGAUAGUAUAAUUUGUCAAUUUGAACCAAGAGAUCUUCGAUCAUCCCUCUUGGAAUCUUCACUGAUCUAUCUGCCAGAGAUAGAGUGAUGGAUGUUGGCUUUAACUUUCCAAGUCCCAACUGCUUGUAGACAGAGUAGGGUAGCAAAUUCACACUUGCUCCCAAGUCCAACAAAGCUUUUUCCACACAAUCCCUCAAAUACUCACUGAGAUGGUAGGGUAGCCCGGAUCUUUGUACUUCACUGGAGACUUGCACUAUAUGAUGGCACUCACUUGCUCAGUCAAUAAGGCUUUCUUAUUCACAUUCAACCUUUUCUUUACAGUGCAUAAGUCCUUCAAGAAUUUUGCAUAUGUUGGCACUUGUUUGAUCAUGUCUAGCAAAGGGAUAUUGACCUUCCCUUGCUUCAACACUUCAAAAAUUUCUGAUGCAUUAUUGGUUCCCUUUUUGCCAUGCAAAGCUUGGGGGAAAGAUGGAGGCAUGUGUUUCUUCAUCAUAUCUUCUUUGAUGACUAUCCUCUUGGGUUCUUCAUCCACACUAGAAUCACAGUCAUUUUUUUUUUUGUACUUUUCCCUUUUCUCUUUCCUUUAAUUUCCUCACUCUUUUCUUUUUCUGCUACACUCUCUUCAUCAUGCUUUGGCUUGGAUGUGGGUUGAUCAACCUCUUUACCACUCCUCAAGGUGAUAACUGCUUUAACCUCCCUCACCUUUGAAGAUUCUCCCUCUUGAGCCUCCACUUCAUGGAUACCCUUGGGAUUUUGAUGAGGUUAAAAAGGAAACUUUCCUUUCUCUUGCACUGUGUUGAGGUUGGUAAGCCUUGAGAUUGCGUAUUGGACAUUGUCUAUCUUCUGAGAUAGAUCAUUUUGCAUCCCAUCCAUCCUUUUGUUCAAUGUACUUUCCAUACUGUCAAUUCUCUGAUUCAAUUGAGCAUUGAUGGACUUCUGAUCUCCCACAAAGUCUCCCAUAACCUUGCUAAGGUUCACAAUAACUUGUUCAAGAUUUGAGGUUUGCUGAGGUGCUUGAGCAGGUUGUGUGUACUGAGGUGGCUUUGGUUUCUAAUAGAAAUUUGGAUGGUUCCUCCAAUUUGAAUUGUAGGUGUUGCCAUAUGAAGCAUUGUUAUUGGGCUUGAAUUGACCAAUAACGUUUGCUUGAUCACCAAACAUCUCACUCACUACUGGAAUGGUAGGACAUUCCUCCACCAAGUGCUCAUAAGAUUGACAAAUGGAACAAGGCAUAGCUUGCACUGAUGUCUCAGAAAUGGCUUGCACUUCUUGUACCUUCUUCAUUUCUAACUCUUCCAAUCUCCUUGCCAUAGCUGCAACAUUUGCCUUCAUGUUAAUGUCUUCAUUCAAAACAUACAUCCCACCCUUAGCAUUAGGUUGAGACUUCAUUCUUCCCACCUCUCUAGCAUUUGGUUCAUCCCAUCAUCUUGAAACUUCAGCCACAUAACUCAAAAAGUCCAUGGCUUCCUCCAGAUUCUUACUCAUGAAGUCUCCUCUACACAGUUUCUAGGAGUUGCUUCAUUGAAGAAUGCAUACCAUAGUAAAAAUAGCUCACUAAGAGCCAUGUGUCAAAGCCAUGGUGAGGAUAAGCAUUAAUAGCUUCCAUGUACCUCUCCCAACACUCAUAGAAUUUCUCAUUCUCUUUAGUUGAGAAGUUCAAAAUUCGCCUUUUCAAACCAUUGAUCCUAUGAGUAGGGAAAAAUUUCUUGAGAAACUCGGCUUGCAAAUCGGUCCAAGUUCGGAUACUCCUUGGCCUUAGAGAAUUGAGCCAAAUCUUGGCCUUAUUCUUCAAAGUGAAAGGAAAUAGCUUGAGCCUCAUCAAGUCAAUUGAAGUUCCUCCUUCUUGGAAUGUAUUACAAACCUCCUCGAAUUCCUUAAUAUGCGAGUAGGGAUUCUUAGUUUCCAUCCCAUGGAAAGUAGGUAGGAGUGACACAAUGUGAGGUCGGAUUACUAGCUGCUCAAUGGGAGGCACUAUGCAUGAUGGUGCACUCAUACAAGGUGGAUGCAUGCGGUUCCUCAUGGAUCGGUAUGCAUUGAAAUUAUCCUCUUGACCAUGUUGGCUAUUCUGGUCUUCAGGUGGAACAUCCAUGAUGUUCAAGCACACUUCCAACUCAUUUUCUUGAGGAGUUUCAAUCUUCACAAGUCUUCUCUCAAUAUCUCUUAUCCAAUAGGGCAUGCACAACUAGAGAUCACUGAAACAAAAACAAAGAAAACAAAAUAAAUACAAUUCUAGGAAGAGGUAAAGGUUAGCAAAAAACUAAAUAAAAGAUAAGUUAAAAUAGAGACAAAGAAAAAGAAUUAGUAAAAGAAAAAUCACCAAACUUGUGAUGAAGAUCACAAGUGUUCACCAAAAGUAAUGCCAAUGUACUUUGGCACCAUCCCUGACAACAACGCCAUUUGAUUCGUCCCCAACAAUAGCGCCAUUUGAUUCUUGCGCCAGACAAGUGUUAUCAAUAAAAUUUAUAAAACCUAAAUCACCUUACACUAGGGUAGCAUGGCUACUAUAGUAUAGUGGCUCUAGGAUCAUCCACAUGGAUGAAUUUUCUUCGUACAAGUGACUUUAGUGAAGGUAAUGAAAUGGUGUUUUUCCUUAUGAAAAUUAGCUUUUAAAGAAAAUGGAAUUGUGGUUGAAAAAGUUGAUUUUAAGUUAAGCAAAAAUAGCAAUUGAAGUUAACUACAAACAGAAUGUCUCUUGGAACUUUAGGUCACUAGGAUCGAGUUCCUUAGGCAAAGAGAGAUUCCGGAUUUUCUCCUCGCAUUGGUGACAAUAACAUAAAGGAUGGUUAUCUCCUGAACCAGUUUUGUAUCUAGCAAUUAAGAUUUGAUCUAAAGGGUUCAUGAAAAAUGGUAGUUGCUUCCCAUUAAUGGCUUCAAACACUAAAACCCUUCACCUUGAACCACCUUCCAAUGGCUCGUACUUGAUAAUUAAUGAACAUCCAUGGAUCUAGCAAUAAGCAUCCAUAGAAUUCGGAAAGCUUACCAAGUAUUGGCCAUUCAAGGUGAUUCUCACCUUGAGCCACCUUCCAAUGGCUCAUAAUUGAUAACUAAUGGACAUCCAUGGAUCUAGCAAUAAGCAUCCAUAGAAUCUAGAAAGCUUACCAAGUAUUGGCCAUUUAAGGUGAUUAUAAGGGAUUUAAAGCUAAACCUUGAAAUAAAAACCAUUAAUGGUUAACAACUACCUUCAUUUAAAGCAAGAAAAACUCCCACCUUUGCAUCCGGGUCCUUCACCUAGUUAUUUCCAUCAUUCCAAGAUACGUAAAACUUAGCCACUCAUCCCCUGAGAAAUCAUCCUUAGAGGUUCUUUGGCUAGAAAGAAAAAUGAAAACAAAAUGAGAAGGAAAAGCAGAGCAAGGGCUCUAUAUAUUUCUUCCUAUGGGAAUUACAAGUGUCGUAUAUUUGUCUCCUUUUCAAAAGAUUAUACAAAAAGAUCUUAUAUAGAGAGGUCUUUCCAACCCCCUUUUAUAGUUCCUAACCAAGAAAUCCUAUCAUUGGUUGAUUACAAGGAGAAAAUAGUAAUUUACACAAAUUUCUGGAGAUAAAAAUCUAAUGGAGUUGGUGCAUAAGAAGAUUUCACAGACCAUGCGAAAUUUCGCAUGGUGUGCAAAAUUGUCCUUCACUCAGUCUUGCAGCUGCUCCUCUUAUUGAUUUCGCAUGCUAUGCGAAAUUGCUACAUGUUGGAUUUCUUCCUCUGGUUUUCUUCCUUGCAUCUCUGAUUGGCUUGGCAAAGGGCUAUGAUGUGCUCCAAAACUCGGAUUCUUCAUGUAUUUGAGCUUCAACUUGCAUUGCCAUGGAUUGUACAAAAUUCUCUCUCAUUCUUUGCUUGUUUCAAUGAUAAAAAAGCUACCAAAAACACCAAAACUAGCCAAAAACUGAUUAGUAACCCUUGCUAGGUUCCUUAAUGUACCAAUUGAGUUAAAAAGUAUUAACUACUACUCAAAAGUGUUUAAAACAGUUAAUUUCAAGCUAUAAAAGAGCACUUUUUGAGUAGUAAUAAGAAUGAAAUGUAGGACUUGGUCACAGUGGGAUAUAUAAAAAAAAAACAUCUUUUUCAGUAAGGAAGAAGGUUUGUGGUGGGGAGUUUGAUGGCAUAUAUAGGAUUGUUCUUUUAUAUGCACUCACUCUUGGCUUUGGGGGUACAUGCCCACUUUGAUUGAAAAAUUAAAAGGUUCAUACCCACUUUGAUAAUAAAAAAAUUAAAAAUAAAAGCUUAUUACGAGUAAACGUUACAUGAUGAUGAGAGAAAUCGUGUGUGAAUACUAAAUAUCAAUAAUUCCAAGCACUGAUUCCAUUUUCAAUUUUGUUGAGUCAUCAAUCAAUGUUUUAGAAACAAAUAGGUUUUUAUAAUUGGAUUGGUCAAUUCAAUUAAAAAUAUUAAGGAUUAUGAUUCAUUAGUUAAAGUAUUAAGGGGUUCAAUUGUAGUCAAUUAUUUUGAUGUUAGGAUGACAUUAUAAAUAUAUAAUUUAUAUUUUAUUAAAAUUAAAAUAAUUAUAAAAUAUAUAAAUAAUUAAUAUAUUAAUAUAUUUGAUUUUUUAAAAAGACUUUACUAUUAUUAAAUUAAAUCAUAAUAAGGGUAAAUAUAGAUGUAUUAAAACUUUUAAUUUUAUUUAAUAAAAUAUUUAUAAUAUUGAAGUGAAAAGAUAUAUUCAAGAUGAUAUAAAUUGGUGAUGACUUCUCAACUGACAAAAACUCAUUAAUUAUCAUGUUAUUAUUUAAAGUUUCCAUCAUUACCUUCAUAGCUUUUCUUCGCUCACACGGUUCGUAGGUUGGAAAAGUCCAUUUGCAAGAGAGGAAACCAGAAAGAAGAAAAUGUUUUCCUCCUCGAACUCUCGUGAUCUACGACCACCCUUGGAGAUAAUUUUUCCAAUGAUGGUGAUUCCUAAUAUGAACGAGAUAGGGGGAUGACUAUUGCUAUCCUGGCCUACUCCUCAGGUUUUUUUUGCAAGAGUACCGAUAAUUUAAAAAUAUAAUCUUGUUAAAAAUCCCCUACCUCCUCCCUCGUCGGUAUUAGCAAAAGCUCGAACUUGACCUUCUCUACCCGCUCAAUCGCCACACGUGAUUGGCACACAUGAAACCAGUCGUUCUUGAUCUUCGACCACCCUGUCCUUCAUUCAAUAGAUGGCUUUGCUCUACUUCUCAAUCAAUCCCCUGUGUUCAUGGCUUUGAAUAUUUGGAAAUGCUUUUAUUUUCUAUAAAGAUCUUGAUGACCGCUUAAUUCAUCUGUCUUCCCGCUUUUGAAAUAGAAAUGGCUUUUUUUUUUAUUCCCUGAUCUACGAGCACCCUAAGAAAAGUGAUCUAUGAAACUUACAGGCUUUCGACUAAAAAGUGACCAAUGGAAUAGGCUUUAGAGUAACUCUUUCCAAAUAGGUCGAGAAAUAAAAUUUUAAGGAGCUUUCUAGUUGGAUUCACAAGUGUAAAUAGAAUUCAGGUGAAACAUAGGAAUUCCAAAGAAUAAUAGGUAGAAUAUCAUAUCAGUUCACCUUAAGAGCUCAUCUUAAGCCUGUGUUAUGAAUCUUAUGAUCAGGUUUGAAUUCUAGAGUAAAGAGUUGAUCUUAAGCCUAUGUUCGCACGGUUAGAAAUAGAAUUUUAAGGAGAACAAAAUUCGGCAUUGUUUCAACUAGCCUAGACCUUGAUACAAUUUAAGUCGUUAAACGAAUUCAACAUUCUCCGAGUCAAUCCAUGACGUCUCAUGAAUUUUAAACAAUUUCUCAGAAAAAUAAACAAAUAAAGCAUAAUUAAAAAGAAAAAGAAGAAAGAAGUCAGUUUGAAAGCAAAAUAAGAAGGGAAAUGUACCAGAGUAUAACGGUGGUGGGUUAGUUGGAGUUGUUCACAGUGUUCUACUCAUGAAGGUGGGAGUAGUGUAUUGGUGAUGAGAAGGUGGAUAGUCGGAGAUGGUAGCCAACGACAGUGAGAAUGGUGACUUUGUGACCCUUGAAUGGGUUGCAUUAGUAGUUUUAAACCAGAGAAAAGGCUAAAAAAGAAAAAGAAAAGAGAAAGAAAGUCUUCUUGUGGGCCGACAAGAGUGUGUUUCUAUAGCAAUAAUUCGAAGAAAGUAGGUGGUCGACAACAGUAGUACUAGUUUUAAGAAACCAGGGAGAAAGCAAAAAAAAAAAUAAAAUAAAAUGGAAGAGCUAGGAGGGAAAGAGAUUCGUCUUUUGGAGUGGUGAGAGUAUGGUGGGGAGCUGAUACUAAUAGUACAUAUAGGGUAUUAAUGUUGGUGGGGGUGGUGUGAAUUUGGAAGAUAUGAUGUUGUUAUUAAGGUUUUUUAAAAACCUAUAAGAGAGUAGAAACAUGGGUUUCUUAGUUUUUUCUUGGGGUAUUAACUUAUUUAUUUGUAUAUGUCAUGGUGAUGGAGAUCUGCCAAGCUUGAUUGUUGAUGGUGAUCAUCCCCAGACUUGCGUAUGUUCCACCUAUGACAUUUUUCGUUUGCUCUCCACCUCUCCCAUCUCCUCCUCCAUAUUAGCAUACUGAGUAGCCUUAGACAAGAGUGUUUCCAUUUUGGUAAGUCCACUUUUAGUGAGCGAUCACUGCAAGGGGCUAGCUGGUGGUAGGGCCUUCCUAAAAGUAGUCAUAGUAGUCUUCGAGUUGUCACUCUCGACCUGUAUAAUUUUUGUAACAAAACUAUGAAUGAACUUACGUAACAGUUCUCCGGGGCUCUACUUAAGAUUGAACAAAUUAUCGAUACUGCGUCGAGUACGCAUAUUGCACGUGUAAUGAGUCAUGAAUUAGUCACACAAUUGAGAAAAACUAUGGAUAGAACAAGUAGGGAGUUGAUGGAACCAGGUUAGUGAGGCACCUUGGAGACUGGCGGGGAAAACCCAACAUAGUAAGCCUUCACGACCAUCAACAAGAGCCAUUAAUUGGCUAAAAUGGUAAAUAUGCUCAGUGGGAUCCCCAAUUCUAUUAUAAAGAUUAAAUUUAGGUGGUAAAUAAUGAAUAGGUAAUUCUUCCUACAGCAAUUGUGGAAACAACGGUGACUGCAACAUACUUGCCUAUUUUCGAGUCGUUCCCGGGGAAGAAUUUGCUUGCAGUUUAAUUUGUUGUAUCUCUGUUGCUAGCCUUUUAUACUUCUGUUCCAGCCCUUUCGAUUUUGGUGCUACAAACUGUGAAUAAUUACUACUCAAAAAGUGCUAUUUGAUAGCUUUUAAUUAACUCUUUUAAACACUUUUGAGUAGUUAUUAUUACCUUUUAACUCAAUUAACAUAUUAAGGACCCUUGCAAUCAUUUCUAAUCAAUUUGUGUAAGUUUUGGUGUUUUUGUUAGUAAGUUGAUCACAAAAGCAAUCCGAGAUUGAGGAGAGUUCUUUGGAAUCCAUGGCAAAGCAAUGGAAAGCUCAGAAACAUGAAGAACCAAAGCUUUGAAGCUUUAAAGUCCUUUGCCAUAAGCAAAGAUUUUGGAGCACUUCCUGGAGUUCAAUUUAUGCAUACUGUCGUUUCGAAGCUCGGGAAGUUAGCAAUCUAAUGCUUCAAACGGUGCACGAUUCGGAGUUGAAAUGAAGGAGUUACAACCAUUGGAAGCCGAUCACUCCAAGCUGAAGGCAAAUUUCGCAGGGUUGUGAAAUCAGCCUUUGGCUGCGAAAUGGUGUCCUUCAUGUUGCGAAAUUUCGCAGCCCUCUUGCGCGGCUGCGAAAUUCUCCUGAAGCUUCACGAUAUUUGCGACCGACAUUUUGAGAUUUUUUUGCUUUAGAUAUUUGAUGUCUAAAUCCCCAAACUCUCCUUGUAACCCACCUAUCAUAGGAUUCCUUAGUCUUUAAGCAAGAACAAAGGGUAAAUAAACCCAUAUUUAAUGCUUGUAAGUUUCCAUUAAAAAAGGAGACAAGAAACUUGUUCUCAUACAACUUUUAUAUAGUAUUUGAAGGAAGUAAAUUCAGGGCCUUUGCUCUGCCUUACCUAUUCGUUUUGAUUGUAUAUAUUUAUUUAAUUUUUCUUACUAGCCAAACAAGCUCUGAGGAUGUUUCCUCAGAGAAUGAGUGGCUAGGCUUUUAGUUCCUUGGAACUAAGGUUGCCGGGAAAGGUUCCAAAUGCAAGAAUUGGUAGUUUUGUUGUUUCAGCCAUUAAUGAAGAGAAAGUGCAACUCAUUAAUGAUUUCUAUGUUUUUAGUUAACUUAAAACACCUUCAAUUCACCUGAGCAAACACUUGGUAAGGUAAGUGAUCUCCGUCCAUGGAGAUGCACUAGUUUACCUCUUGUGAGUUUUUGGUAUGUGACUUGAAGAUAGGAUUUUCUAGAAUUGCCAACACUUGGUAAGCUUUUAAACUCCAAGGAGACAUCCAUUAGUUAUCUCUUGCGAGCUUGAGAAGGGAAGUCCAAGGUUAAUGAUCACCUUGAAUGGCAAAUGCUAGGUGAGAGGCACGAGCCAUUGCAAGUUGCAUCAAUGAGAGGGAAUUAGUGCUGAAAUCCAUUAAAGGGAAGCAUCUGUACAACACCGGUUAGAGAAUUGACUAUAUGUUAAUUCUCUAAUGCGAGGAAAUGAACCAAGUGACCGGAGCUCUGUUUUUGCAUGAGGAGCCUCCCCUGUGAACCUAAAACUCCAAGGAAUGCUUUUCUUCAUAAGUAAUUUUCAUUACUUUAUUUUUAGUUAGCUUAAAACAAAACCUUUUUCAACCAAAGUUUAUGUUUUUUUCUUAAGCUAACCUUGAAAUGAAAAAGCACCAAUUUAACUUUGAAUUGGUAUCAGUUGUGAGUUGAAAACCCUUCCCAGUGAACAAUCCUAGAGCCACUAUGCUAUAUUAGCUAAAGCUAUCCUAAUGCAUGGUGAUAUAGGUUAUAAAUUUUGUUGAUUACUUCCUCAAUCAAGGAACACCAGCUGGACAUGAAUCAGCUGAGACACCAAUUGGGAAACACGAAUCAAAUGGCGCCGCUGCCGGGGAAGGUGCCAACUUCACAGUGAUAUUAUUUCAGUGUACUUGUGGUUCUCAUCACAAGUUUGGUGAAUUUUCUUUCAUUUUAAUAACUCUUUUAAUUGUUUCUUUUACUUGUUCAUAUUCUAACAUAGCUUUUAAUUUAGUUUCAGUUAAUCUAAGUCUUUUUGGUAGUCUUGUUUUUUUUGUUUUCCUCUGUUUUUGUUUUUUUUCUAUUUUUGUUUUUUUUCUUUGUUACAGUUGAUACUAGUUGUGUAUGCCAAAUUGGAUACGAGAUAGUGGAGGAAGGCUUGUUAAACGUGAAACACCUCAUAACAAGGAGUUGGAAUUGAGCUUGAACAUCAUGGAAACUACACCUGAAGAUCCGCAUAGUCACCAUGGUCAUCAGGACAAUCCCAACGAAUUCAGAUCAAUGAGGGACCGCAUGCAUCCACCUCGUAUGAGUGCACCAUCAUGUAUAGUGCCCCCUAAAGAGCAGCUAGUGAUCAGGCCCUAUAUUGUUCCACUUCUACCAACUUUCCAUGGAAUGGAAAGUGAGAAUCCCUAUGCACAUAUCAAGGAAUUUGAAGAUGUUUGUAAUACAUUCCGAGAUAGAGGAGCUUCAAUCGACUUGAUGAGGCUUAAGCUAUUUCUUUUUACUUUAAAGGAUAAAGCCAAGAUUUGGCUUAAUUCUUUAAGGCCAAGGAGUAUCCGUACUUGGACUGAUUUACAAGUUGGAUUCCUCAAAAAGUUUUUUCCUACUCACAGAACAAAUGGCUUGAAAAGACAAAUUUCAAACUUCUCAGCUAAAGGAAUGAGAAAUUCUAUGAGUGUUGGGAAAGAUACAUGGAAGCCAUUAAUGCUUGUGAUGCGACUCAUGGUAGCUUAGCUUUAAAGGCGUAUCAACAAAAUUUAUACCUUAAAUACUAUUACUAAAGUAGCCAAGCUACUAUAGCAUAGUGGUUCUAGGAUCGUUCACUGGGAAGGGUUUUCACAAACACUAGUGAUAUUCAAAUUAGGAAAAUAGGUGAUUUUCUUAUGGAUGUUAGCUUUAAAAGAAGAUGUAAAUGUUUUAGAAAGAUUUAAACUAAUCUAAGCUAACAUUAAAGACUAAAAUGAAAGGGUGUAAAAACAAGUUUCUCAAAGAUAGGAUAGCUAUGCUCUGGCUCUUAUGCAAAUUGGAAAUCUCAGGAUAGGCUCCUCGCGUUGGGGUUGCAACUAUGGUGAUGCUUGCUUCCCGAACCGGUAUGGAUUUAGCAAAUCAAGUUUUAAUCCUUUAAAAUGGCAAAACAGAUGGUAGUGAAUUUCAUCAAUGGUUAUUCACUUUAGACUUCCUUUGAAUGGCUCGUAAGAGAUAACUAAUGGUCUAAAGCCAAAAGCUUACCAAAUAUUGGCAACUCAAAGUCAUUCCAGGUGAUAAACUCACCUUUCAAUGGCCAUUGAAAUUGGUUCUAACGGAUUAAUGCAAAACUUGGAAUUGAAAACCUCACCUUCCAAUAGCUCGUAGGAGAUAACUAAUGGAUAGAAAUCCAAAAGCUUAUCAAGUAUUGGCCGUUGGAAGUUGUCCAAAGGAAAUAAAAACCAAACUUUGCAUUAAUGAACCGUUAAUGAAAAACGACUACCUUACCUUCCAGGUGCGAGAAAUUUCCAUGGGAUUGCAUCCAAGCCAUCACAUAACAUCCAUACUUUGAGAAACUAAAAGUUUUAGCCAAUCAUCCUCUGAGGAAAAGCCCUUAGAGGCUGUUUGGCUACUAAGAAAAUAGAAAUGGGGAAGAACAGGAGAAGAGAAAAACAGAGCUUUAUAUAUGUCUAAGUUAAUGUACACAGGAUCGAUCCCCAAUCAUCCCAUUUUUCGUCCCCUGUUGGAGGUGUUGUGCACCUCUAUAUAUAGCAAAAUUACAAGAUAAAGCUUUAUGUCGGCUGAAUACAAGGUUACAAAAGGAAUUUACAUGAGAAAAUAUCAAGCUAAAAAUAUUUGGGAAGUCGGUGGUGCGUGCGUGGAGAAACAGAGGAUUAAAAGGAAUUUCGCAAUGUAAAAGGCACAUUGCGAAAUUUUCGCAAUGUGAAUUACUCAUGAUGCGAAGUGCCAUAUUUUCGCAUCAUGAGUUAAUUCACCUUGCGAAAUUUUCGCAAUGUGAAAUUCACAUUGCGAAAUGGCAAAAUUUCGCACCAUGAAGAAAAUCUCCUUGCGAAAUUUUCGCAAUGUGAAAUUCACCUUGCGAAAUUGGUCAUUUGGCAUGAUGCAGUUGCCUUCCGAAGGCCAUAUCUUCCUCAUUUCAGCUCCAAAUUAUACACGGUUUGAAGCGUUGGAUUCUUGACUUCCUAAGCUUUCAAAUGGUAUAUAGCAUGUAGAAAAUGGACUUCAGGAAGUGCUCCAAAAGUGUGAAAGAAGACUGCAUCUGUUUUCUUCACUUUGUUUUCCUCUUCUCCAUUGCUUGUGCUCGUGUUUCCACUUGAAAUUCAAGCCUGUAAUCAUCCAAAAUCCUUGCUUAACUCGCCCAAAUAGCUCCUCCAUCAAUUGGCAUGCUUGAAUUGGUUCAUAAGCUGAUAAAAACAUGUAAACUUGCCACAAAAUGGUUAAAACCAAUUACUAAGGACCUUAAUGAAUUAAUUAGGUUAAAUGAAUAUGAUUACUACUCAAAGGUGCUUAAAACCAUUAUUAUUAGGUCUACAAAAUAGCACUUUUUGGUAGUAAUCAGCUUGUCCUCACCAUGGUUUUGAUACAUGGCUGUUGGUGAGUUAUUUCUAUGAUGGGAUGUCUUCCUCAAUGAAACAACUCCUCGAAACAAUGUGUGGAGGGGAUUUCUGAGUAAGAAUCCUGAGGAAGCUAUGAAUUUCUUGAGUUAUGUAGCUGAAGUCUCAAGGGGGUGGGAUGAACCGAAUAGAGGAGAAGUGGGAAAGAUGAAGUCUCAACCAAAUGCUUUUCAUGCUAAGGCUGGGAUGUACACCUUGAAUGAAGAUGUUGAUAUGAAAACAAAAUUUGCAGCUAUGACAAGAAGAUUGGAGGAGCUAGAACUGAAAAAGAUGCAUGAAGUGCAAGCUGUUGCUGAAACACCAGUGCAAGUAAAGCUAUGUUCUAUUUGUCAAUCUUAUGAACACUUGGUGGAGAAGUGCCCUACAAUUCCAGUUGCUAGAGAAAUGUUUGGAGAUCAAGCAAAUGUCAUUGGACAAUUCAAGCCCAAUAGCAAUGCUUAGUAUGGAAAUACUUACAACUCAAGUUGGAGGAAUCAUCCAAAUUUUUCAUGGAAGCCAAGAGCACCUCAGUACCAACAGCCGACUCAACCAUCUCAACAAGCUUCAAGUCUUGAACAAGCAAUAGUGAAUCUCAGCAAGGUUGUGGGAGAUUUUAUUGGAGACCAAAAAUCCAUCAAUGCUCAACUCAGUCAAAGAAUUGACAGUGUAGAGAAUACUUUGAAUAAAAGGAUGGAUGAGAUGCAAAAUGACUUAUCUCAGAAGAUAGAUAAUCUCCAAUACUCAAUCUCAAGGCUCACUAAUUUGAACACAGUGCAAGAGAAGGGUAGAUUUCCUUCUCAACCUCACAAAAACCCUAAGGGUAUCCAUGAAGUGGAAACUCAUGAGGGAGAAUCUUCAUAGGUGAGAGAUGUCAAAGCCUUGAUCACUCUAAGGAGUGGUAAAAAGGUUGAGUCACCAACACCCAAGCUACAUGUUGAAGAGAAAGAAGAGGGAGGAAAUGAAAGGAAAGAAGAAAAAUAUCAAUGAAGGGAAAGAGGACCAUGAUUCAACAAUGAAUGCAAAUCCGGAUAAAGAGCUUAUUAAGGAAGAACUGAUGAAGAAACACACAUCUCCACCUUUUCUUCAAGCUUUGCAUGGGAAAAAAUGGAUGAAAAAUGCAUCAGAAAUCCUUGAAGUAUUGAGGCAAGUGAAAGUCAAUAUUCCAUUGCUGGAUAUGAUUAAGCAAGUUCCAACAUAUGCAAAAUUCCUAAAGGAUUUGUGUACUAUCAAAAGAUGGUAGAAUGUGAAUAAGAAAGCCUUCUUGACUGAGUAAGUAAGUGCCAUCAUACAAGUCUCCUUUGAAGUACAAAGAUCCGGGAUGUCCUUCCAUUUUAGUCAUGAUUGGAGGAAAGGUAGUGGAAAAAGCUUUGUUAGACUUGGGAGCAAAUGUGAAUUUGCUACCAAAAUCUGUCUACAAGCAAUUGGGACUUGGUGAAUUGAAGCCAACAUCAAUCACUCUAUCUUUAGCUGAUAGAUCAGUGAAAAUUCCAAGGGGGAUAAUUGAAGAUGUCUUAGUUCAAGUUGAUAAUUUCUACUAUUCAGUAGAUUUUGUUGUUCUUGAUAUUGAUCAUUUUGUUAAGGAAGCUAAUUAUGUCCCUAUCAUCCUUGGUAGGCCAUUCCUUGCUACUUCAAAUGCAAUCAUCAAUUGUAGGAAUGGACUUAUGCAACUCACUUUUGGCAACAUGACACUUGAGCUUAAUAUCUUUUAUAUGUCUAAGAAGCUAAUCACUCCGGAAGAAGAAGAAGGUCCAGAAGAGGUAUGCAUUAUUGACACUCUAGUGGAGGAGCAUUGUAAUCAGAAUAUACAAGACAAGUUAAAUGAAAGUCUUGAGGAUCUUGAAGAAGGGUUGUCUGAACCCGCUGAUGUGCUUGCUACUCUAUAAGGUUGGAGGAGGAAAGAAGAGAUUCUAGCUUUAUUCAAUAAAGAGGAGGCACAAGAAGCUGUUAAGGAAGAGAUCCCAAAGCUCAAUUUGAAACCUCUGCCCAUGGAGUUGAAAUACACGUACCUGGAAGAAAAUAAUCAAUGCCCUGUUGUUAUAUCUUCAUCUCUUACUACUCAUCAGGAGAUUUCUCUACUUGAAGUUCUUAAGAGGUGUAAGAAAGCAAUAGGAUGACAAAUAUCUGACUUGAAAAGAAUCAGUCCUUUGGUUUGUACACAUCACAUAUAUAUGGAGGAAUAAGCUAAACCAAUUCGUCAACCUCAAAGAAGAUUGAAUCCUCAUUUACAAGAAGUGGUGUGAGCUGAGGUGCUGAAGCUACUUCAAACGGGUAUUAUUUAUCCCAUAUCUAACAGCCCUUGGGUGAGUCCUACUCAAGUGGUACCAAAGAAGUCAAGGAUUACUGUGGUUCAAAAUGAAAAAGGAGAAGAAAUUGCCACACGCCUCACUUCAGGUUGGAGGGUGUGUAUUGACUAUAGGAAAUUGAAUGUUGUGACAAGGAAAGAUCAUUUUCCACUCCCGUUUAUUGAUCAAGUGCUGGAGAGGGUCUCUGGUCAUCCUUUCUAUUGUUUCUUGGACGGGUACUCAGGGUAUUUCCAAAUUGAAAUUGAUGUUGAAGAUCAGGAGAAGACCACUUUCACAUGUCCAUUUGUAACAUACGCCUACAGAAGAAUGUCUUUUGGUUUAUGCAAUGCACCUGCAACAUUCCAAAGAUGUAUGCUUAGUAUCUUCAGUGAUAUGGUGAAGUGAAUUAUGGAGGUUUUCAUGGAUGAUAUCACCAUAUAUGGAGGUACAUUUGAAGAAUGCUUAAUCAAUUUGGAAGCGGUUCUUAACAGAUGCAUUGAAAAAGACUUGGUGCUCAACUGGGAGAAAUGCCACUUUAUGGUACAUCAAGGAAUUGUCCUUGGCCAUAUCAUCUCCGAGAAAGGCAUUGAAGUUGAUAAAGCAAAGGUGGAACUUAUUGUCAAAUUGCCAUCCCCAACCACUGUAAAAGGAGUAAGGCAAUUCCUUGGCCAUGCAGGGUUCUACAGGAGAUUUAUAAAAGACUUCUAUAAGCUUUCAAAGCCUCUUUGUGAACUUUUAGCUAAGGAUGCUAGUUUAUAUGGGAUGAAAGAUGUCAAAAGAGUUUUGAUCAAUUGAAGCAAUUUUUUACAACCGCUCCAGUAGUGAAGGCUCCCAACUGGCAACUACCCUUUGAAGUAAUGUGUGAUGUCAGUGACUUUGCUAUAAGAGUUGUACUUGGACAAAGAGAAGAUGGGAAGCCCUAUGUGAUUUACUAUGCAAGCAAAACAUUGAACGAAGCUCAAAGGAACUACACAACUACAGAGAAAGAGUUGUUAGCUGUGGUGUUUGCCUUAGACAAGUUUCGUGCUUAUUUGGUAGGGUCUUUCAUCAUUGUUUUCACUGACCAUUCAGCCUUGAAGUAUUUAUUGACAAAGCAAGAUGCAAAAGCAAGGUUGAUUAGAUGGAUUCUUUUAUUACAAGAGUUCGAUCUCCAAAUCAGAGACAAGAAAGGAGUGGAGAAUGUGGUAGCUGACCACUUUUCAAGGUUGGCUAUAGCACAUAAUUCCCAUGUCUUACCGAUUAAUGAUGACUUUCCUGAGGAAUCACUCAUGUUGCUAGAGAAAACUCCUUGGUAUGCUCAUAUUGCUAACUAUUUGGUUACUGUUGAAGUUCCAAGUGAGUGGAAAGCAUAGGACAGGAAGCACUUCUUUGCAAAGAUUCAUGAUUAUUAUUGGGAAGAGCCCUUUAUUUUCAAGUAUUGUGCAGAUCAGAUCAUAAGGAAGUGUGUCCUUGAAGAAGAGCAACAAGGAAUCCUCAGCCAUUGCCAUGAGAAUGCAUGUGGAGGCCACUUUGCCUCUCAGAAAAUAGCCAUGAAGGUGUUGCAAUCAGGGUUUACUUGGCCAUCACUUUUCAAAGAUUCCCACAUCAUGUGUAGGAGUUGUGAUAGAUGCCAAAGGCUUGGGAAGCUUACAAAAAGAAAUCAAAUGCCCAUGAACCUCAUCCUAAUAGUUGAUCUUUUUUAUGUUUGGGGUAUUGACUUCAUGAGACCUUUCCCAAUGUCUUUUGGUAACUCUUAUAUAUUGGUGGGGGUGGACUAUGUUUCUAAAUGGGUUGAGGCAAUCCCCUGUAAACACAAUGAUCACAGGGUGGUUAUCAAAUUUCUUAAGGAGAACAUCUUCUCAAGAUUUGGGGUACCCAAGGCCAUAAUCAGUGAUGGAAGUACUCAUUUUUGCAACAAACCUUUUGAAACCCUAUUAGCCAAGUAUGGAGUGAAGCAUAAGGUAGCUACACCUUAUCACCCUCAAACUUCCAGGCAAGUGGAGUUAGCAAACAGGGAAAUCAAGAGCAUAUUGAUGAAAAUGGUGAUUACAAGCAGAAAAGAUUGGUCUAUUAAGCUUCACGAUUCAUUAUGGGCAUAUAGAACAACUUAUAAGACUAUUCUUGGCAUGUCUCCCUAUCGUCUAGUCUAUGACAAAGCAUGUCAUCUCCUUGUGGAAGUUGAAUAUAAGGCUUGGUGGGCAAUCAAGAGGUUGAACAUGGACUUGAUCAGAGCCGAGGCAAAGAGGUGCUUAGACCUUAAUGAGAUGGAGGAAUUAAGAAAUGAUGCUUACAUCAAUUCCAAAGUUGCAAAACAGAGGAUGAAGAGGUGGCAUGAUCAACUAAUCUCCAACAAAGAAUUCCAAAAAGGACAAAGAGUCUUACUCUAUGACUCAAGGCUCCAUAUCUUUCCCGGGAAGCUCAAGUCAAGGUGGAUAGGUCCUUUCAUUAUUCACCAAGUGCAUCUCAAUGGAGUGGUGGAAUUACUGAAUUCCAAUGGCACAUACAUCUUUAAAGUCAAUGGUCAUUGUCUCAAGCCAUUCAUUGAGUCAUUCAAGCAAUAAAAUGAGGAAAUCAACCUCCUUGAGCCACAAAAAGCCUGAUCAGAGAAGGGUUAGAUGGACUUGGUUUCACCAAAGUCCAUAUUUUUGUUUAAUUAUGUUAAUUUAUAAACUUUGUAAAUUGUUUUGAUUUUAAUUUUGGUCUUAAAUCGUGUUAAUUAUAUGUAACUUAAUCUUUUUGAAUGAUCAAAAUUAGGAGGAAUUGCAAGGAAAUUGAAAGUAGGAAGCUAGGAAUCAAGAGGAACUCAAAAACAAGGAGAAAGCAUGGUUUGCGAAAUUUUGUAGCCUAAAGUGGGCCCCUGCGAAAAUCACAUCCCACUACGAAAAAAUUUCGCAGCCCUCAGGAGCCGCUGCGAAAAUCCCCCCAUUGCUGCGAAAAUCGAUUCUCGUUGCAAAAUAGUUUCGCAGCCGCCUAGCGCCCUCUGCGAAAAUUUUUGCAGGUGCGGAGAGACCCCUUAUCACACGAGUGCCAUUUUGCAGCCAAGUACACCCGUUUCGUAGCUGUGAAAUGGUUGCAAAAUCUCCACGCCUUGAAAUCCUCCAUUUCGUAGCCGAGACACCAUUUCGAAGAGUGUUUCGCAGCUGCGAAACCACCCUUUGGCACACGAGUGCCAUUUCGCAGCGUUGUACGCCCGUUUCGCAACUAUGAAAUGGGCUGCGAAAAUGAUGCCGAAAUUCCCCUCACUGCGAAAACGCCCAGCCGCUGCAAAAUCCACAUCCCCUCGCUGCGAAAAGUCCUGUCUACUGCGAAAAGGAAUAGUGACCCUUGGUGUCCCUUUUAAACGGUAUAAAUUCCAUUUUUCCUAUUCUAAACGGUCAUUUGAACUUCAACAAAGUACCAAGAGGAGCCAAGCCAGAGCACCCUGCCGUCUGCCUCCUCCGCCUGAGCAAGCUGCGCGCAUCUUCGGCCAUUUUCGCUGAUACCGCCAUGGCCAAAACUCGAGGAGCUAAGUCUUCGUCCCCAUCGACUCGCCUGAGAAUCCCAAGAGACACGCCUGUCCAAGAUUCCACCUCUGAGCUGCCACGGCCUCGCCUCGUCCCACCUCCGGUCCAGGACGCACCUACCAGUCCUCCGCCCAGGCGCUAUAAUACAAGGAGAUCACUUACCAUCAUCGGUGUGAGUUCUUCCAGAGGCCAAAAAUCAAGUACCGAUCCCUAAAAGAAGAAAGCCAAGGUCUCUGAGCCAAUUGAUUUGACAGAGUCAUCUUCAGAGCCUAAAUCAGAGCCUACGCCAUCUCCACCGCCUGCCAAAAAGUCUCCACCACCUGCCAAGAAGCCUCAGCUAUCUCAGACACCAGCAAGAGAAUCUCAAAUUCCCUCAGGCAUGACUCCUGAGGUAGCUAUCAAACGCCCCAUGGUCAUACAACCGCCAAUUGAAGGAAAUUUGGAUUGCAGAGCAAGGCCAUUCCACUCUGAGCUCUGUUUUGACAUAGCCACCUUCAGAAUUCAGCCUGAGCUCAGGGAGUCCUUUCGUCUGCUACAGAGGUAUCAUAUGGAGCAUUUGCUGACUCCUAGGGAUUUUUUUAUCCCUGUGUGGCAUUGGACUUCUAUUAGUCCAUGACCACAAACCAGGUCCGAGAUCCUACAGUCAUCCAUUUUACCAUAGACGGACGACAUGGUAUUUUGGGAGCUCGACAUAUAGCAGAGGCACUCAAUAUCCCCUAUGAGCCAGCACGUCCAGAGGAUUUUCGAGCUUGGACUCAUCCUUCACAGAGUAACAUCGUUCAUACUCUGUCCAGAGGAGCAUCCUCACGCCAUUACAUCCUGAGGAAGGAGCUUCCCCCAAGCAUGUUCUUCAUUGAUGCACUCCUCCGCCAUAACAUUUUCCCACUUCAGCAUUGGGUGCAGAGGAGAGGAGUUUUGCUGGAGGCAUUGUAUAGGAUCUCUGAGGGAUACUUCUUUGGCCCUCACCAUCUCAUCAUGGCUGCUCUUCUAUACUUUGAAGAGAAGGUGCAUCGAAAGAAGCUGCUCCGAGCGGAUGCCAUUCCACUCCUCUUUCCCAGACUAUUAUGCCAUAUAUUGGAGCACUUGUGAUACCUAGUAGAGCCUCAGCAUGAGCGUAGACAUAUUUGUCGAGAGAUUUUCACUCUCGACAAAUGGACCAGUAUGACAGCUUAUGAUGGUGUAGACUAAGGAGCACCAGCUGGACCAUAUCAUCCAGAGCAGCCAGAGGAGCCAGUUGACAUACUUGCUGACACUCAGCCACUUGCCCCUGCAGUGGCCCCUACAGAGCAUAUACCAUAGGUUGCAUCCUCUGCUCCUCAGGCCACACCACAGCCUCCCCCUGUUAUUCCACCUAUUUCAGAGUCAUCUCCUUCAGUUGAGCUAAGGAUAACUAUACCCAUUAUCGAGUAUAGAGGCCUAUGCCACACUUUUCAGGCAUUGGCCACUUCUCAGAGCAUCCUCACUCAGCAGAUGACAACCCUUCGUGCUCAUCAGGAGCAGAUUAUUGCCACUUAGGUCCAGCACACUGCCAUCCUAAGGCAGAUUCAACACCAUCUCGGCAUUAUAUUAGCUCCUGAGCAUGCCAUUCCUAGCCCACCAGAGCCAUCACAGGCCCCUUCUUUCAUGCAUGAGACUAUGCCUCCUGAGGAGCCCACUACAGGAGAGGUAGGGGCAGCUGAGCCAUCAUCUCCACAGCAUCCUCCACCCACCAACUGAUCAUUUUGAUAGUUUCUUUUAUAUAUAUUUCGAUUAUGUAUUUCGUUUAUGUAUUUCCUUAUCAUAGUAGCACUUGAAAUCCCAUGCUUUUGAUAUUAUAUACUGGGAUUACUUGUAUUAUUUGCUUUCAUUUUGUACUCACAUGAAUUAAAGUAAUACAAAUCUAUCACUUUUUGAUCACUCUUAGCAUUAUUUUAUUCUUAUUUCCUCUACUCAUAUCUUUUAUUCUUUUUGAAACAUGUGGUUUCUCCAAUCAAUACUCGAAAUUGAUAUCACUCAAGAGGUACCACUUCCUCCCUAUAAUCUUAAUCGCUCAUGCCACAUUGAGGACAAUGUUCAGCUUGGUUGGGGGGAGAGUUGAGGAAGGAAGUUUUUUGUUAUUUAUGCUAAGUUAUUUUGGUAAUUUAGUUUAUUUUUGGUUUAAUUUUAAAAUUUUUUAAAGUUUUUAUUCUAAUCUCCAUGGUUCCUAAGGAAAAAUUUUCAAAUUAAAAUGGGAGAAAUUGAAUUUUUGUUUUUCAUUUGACUUAGAGUUUGUAUUAUGCUUACUAAAGUUGAUGAAUUGUUGAAACUUCUAUUGAAUUCAAGCUUAGUUCUUCCACUUUAAUCUAUUCACACACUAUGCACAAUAGGUUCCGAUUAUAAGAUGAGAAACUAUUUCCUCUUGACUUGGGAAAAUUUUAGACUUGGUACCUUUGACCUCAUUUAAUAGUGUUGGGACACCUUAUAAAAGGCCAAUGAGUCUUUGAAGAAAAAAAAAGAGAAAGAAAGAAAAAUGUUUGCUUGCCUUGAAACCCGAGCAAGGUCUGAGGGGUAUAUGGUGAAAAUCUUUAAAACCUGGUGCCCUAAGCCUUCAUUGGUUGGGAGUCACUGACCUCAACGCUCGUUACAAGGGUGAAUAGGUGGAGUUUAACAUGUUGUAGGUGCUUGGGUAUAAAAUUUCAUUCUCAAAAGUCUGGGGUAAAAUCCGAGGAGUUAGUGGUUGAAAGAUCCUUAAAGCUUGAUGCCCUAAACCUUAAUUGGUUGGGAGUCAUCGAGACAUGGACAAUUUAGAAAAGAAUACCUUUAAGCCUUGUACUCCUACAAUGAAAAAAAAUGGUGAAACAAAAGGGUACGUUCUUAGCCUAUUGAAUUUGGUCAGUUUGCUAAGUGUUGAAAAAGAACUAGGUUGGGGGAGAGAUUAGUUUAGCAUACUAUAUUCGGAAACUAUCAACUAACACUUAGACUUUUGUGGAAAUGAUUUUAAAGCUUCAAUUUGCAUAAUGCCUUCUCUUUAUGAAUUGUGUUUAGCAAAGUAUUUGAUAACUCUUGUUGAAAUUUGAGUUUAUAUUUCUUUAAUGUUCCAUGUGAGAGUUUGAUCAUCAUGCCACUUAAAAUUUUUUGGAAGUGAUACGCAUAAUCUUGUAAAGUAUAUUACUUUUUAGUACUUUCUCUCUCUUUUUUUUGCUAAAGGACUAGCAAUAUGUCGGUUGGGGGCAGUGAUUACUACUCAAAAAGUGCUAUUUGAUGAAUUUAGCAAAAAGCAGUCUUUUAGACCUAGUUUGACAACUUCCACAGGUUUGUCCUUGAGGAUGAUACCUGGAGUACUACAAAUGUCGUAAAGACUCAUUCUUUGAUUUUUCUUAGCUAGAGUUGCUACGUAAUAUACAAAAGACCUUUUUUUUUGUUUUGUUUUCUCUUUUUCAAAACAACGUCAUUUUGAUGCAUUUUGCAUUGAAACAACGUCGUUUUAUCCCUUAAACCCACCCCCUUCCCUUCUGCCUAGGCAUCGCUACUCUGUGCCACUGUCACUCCCUUUCAACUCUAGUCCCACGACGUCACCGACCUGGCAAUGACAUCAUCUCGGCGACACCAUCCCUACCAUAAGUUGUAACAUUGAAACUUUCCAUACUUUUGAAACUUUUAAAGUUUUAAUAUAGAAAUAUCAAAGUCUAUGACUAAAUUUUUUGCUAUAAUUUUGUGAAUUUUAAAUUUGAUCAUUAAAUUAUUCAAAGAAAUCUUGAUCUUUGAAUUGCUUUAUAUACAUAUAAGUAUGUUAUUAAUUGAGAAUACCAAUUAUAUACAUAUAAGUUAAUUUGUCAUUGAUUGAAAUGGAGAUAUGUGAUAAAGAAAAGUUGUUUUUUUAGUAUCAUAGUUAAAUUAAAAAAUAAUAAUAAUAAGAUAGUGAAUUAGUGAUUCAAUAAUAUAUGAAUAUUUCAAUCUUAGCAUUUUAUAAGUGUGGUUAAAUAUGAACUAUAGAAUAAAAAUACAAAGAAAUAAUAUUUAAAUACAAAAACACAAGAUUAUAAGUCUUUCACUCACAUUUUUAUAUUUUUAUUUUUAUUUAUUUUAUUAGUUUAUUUCCAUUAUUAUUUAUUUUAAUUUUACAAUUGUAAAUUUUAAAAUUUUAUGAUUUUUAAAAUGUAUAAUUUUAAUUUUAAUUAAUGAAAACAUUGUAAUUUUAAAUAAAUUUUUGAAUACAUUUUGUUACUUAGAAUUUAUCAUUUUUAUUUCUAAAAUUAUUUUAAUUUUAAUAAUAUAUAAAAUAUAUAUUUAUAAUAUCACAUGUUCGACCGCCAAUCCAACCAAUGAAUUGUGAAUCGAUAAUUUUUUUGGUUCAAUGACUAGUCUGAUUCUAAAAACAUUGAAAUUAAUUGUGAAAGGAAGACCAUUGAAAGUUGAAACUCCAUUGUGGGCCCUUAUCCCACCAUUGAUAGCUGCUAAGAUCUGCCAAACUUAAUUAGAAAUGGUGAGGGGUUUUGAAAGUUGGAGAAAGCGAUGGGAUUGAGUUUGAAUUUUCAAGAGACAGCAAGCUCUGCUUCACCUAUUAACAUUUAAACCCAAUUUCUCAAUUAAAAUAAAAUAAAAUAAAAUAAAAUAAAAUUUUAAAAAUUUUAUAUGCAAGUUAGAUGAAAAAUAAUUUAUCAUAUAUUAGUAAAAUUGUCAUUAAAAAAGAAUGAAUAUGACUAAGAUAGACUAAGAUAAGUUUUUUUUUUCCACAUUUUGUUCUCUUAUUUUUGAAGUAAAUUUAUAAUUUAUUUAAUGAAUUCUUACUAACAAAACCAAUCAAAUAAUAUAAAAAUCACUUAAUUCAAUAAGAAAUGAAUUUACAAUAUAAAGUUCCAAAAUCCAAACCGAGAUUUAACUACAUGGUAUCAUAACUCAUUCAAUUUUCAAUAAAAUUGUAAUAAAAAAAUGUACCAUAAAUGAAUUUAUUACAAAAUUUUAAAUUUAGCUCCUUAUAAUACAAUAAAAUCAAAAGAAAUCAAUUCUCAUCAAUUUUAAUGAAUUUUCUCUAAUUAAAACUCUAUAAUUCAAGUGCAUUUAAAUAUCCACUGGAGUUAAUAAUUUUAAUUAAUUUUAAAAAAUCCUAAAUUAAUUUUAAAAAAUCAAAAGUUAGGAGGUGAUGUCUUUCCCUAAAUUAAAAAUCCAAACAUUAAAGAAUUAAUCCGAAUAAUCAAACAUAUGUUUCAAUCACAAAUUCAUAAAUUUAAAGAUGUAUCACAUAAAACUGCUAAGUAAUUAAUACAACUUAAUUUAGAAAAUUUUCAACACUUUAUUAGUAAUCAAACAUAAUUAAAGAAACCCUAACCAUCAAUUAAUUAUCAAUUUCUUAACCAACUAUAUAAUUAAUUAUUAUAAACUUUUGUUAUUAUAAUAAAUGAAGUAUUUAAAAUAUGUUAAAUUACUUUUUUUUUUCAAAUGAUUAGUUUUCGAAUAUUUGUAUUUGAAUUACAUAAAAUGAGAUGACACAUAAUCAUUGAAUCUUAGUGGUUAUUUUUAGCAUAUAAAAAUAAAUAGAUUUAAAUAAUUUUUAAAUAUAUUAAAUUAUUAUUUUUUUAAAUGAUUAAUUUUCAAAUAUCUUUAUUUCAAUUAUAUAAAAUUAGAAGAAACAUAAUUAUUAAUAUCAUUAUAGGGUGUUUUUAGCAUAUAAAAAUAAAUAAAUUUAACAGCUAGUGACGUUCUAAUAUCAAUAAAUUAUAGAACUUUAGUGUUUAACAGUAUUAAAAUAUAUAAAAGGUGUAAUCUCGAAAGGACAAUAGUCCAAUGUUUUCAAAGUUGAGUUGGUCCUUCAAUCAUAAAUAUUACUGAAUUAUGUAUAAUAUAUAAUACCAUGCAAUAUCAUAAAUAUAUAAUUUAUAUUUUUAAAAAAUAAUAUAUAUAACAUUAUAAAACUUAAUAAUAUUUCAUCUUUUAUAUUUAUUUAGUAUUAUCAUAUUAAAUUAAGAAUGAAUAUAAAUAUAUUAAAAAUAUUAUUAAGUAAGACAUGCAUAAUAUUUAAAUAUGAAAAUAUAUUCAACCUUCAAAAUCAUACCAAAAUGAAAUAGGGAGAAUUACCCUUAAGGGUAGGCUGGGGAAAAAAAUUACCAAGAAGGGUGGGUAAAUUUGAUAAUUCUUCUGAAGGCCUGACAUUUUUAUUAGACCAAUUUACCCUCAAUUAAAUUCUAAAAUUAUAAUUUAUAACGAAUAAAAGAAUUGAAAAAAAAAAAAAGACUAUCGUUCCAAUGUCUUCCCUUUCGCAUCUUCUCGUCAAAGCUUCCCUUUCGCAUGAUCUGGGUGGCUGCAUUUCCUACCCCUUUAGAAAAGCCUUGUCCUCAAGGCUAAAAUAGAGGAAACUUUUGUUGCAACUUAAAUGCAUGCUCCCACGUUGCAACUUACAGAAAGGAAUUUGACCAUUGAACCAGCCAUUGUGUCACCAGACGAUUAUUCCAUUUGGAUCUGCCUCUGGAAGUCCGCGGGAGACACCACUGGAUCUCCAACAACAUGGCGAUCCUCCGAUCCUAGAUCCGAUCUCACUGAAUAAUCCUUGGGAAGCACAUCUGGAACCAUGGGUGGAGGCGUUGGAUCCUACAAUUUCACGGGGGAGGGGGGGCGGAGCGAGCCCUUUAUCCAACCCAAACAGAAAAUCCGGAUUGGUCUCGGAGGCCGCCGCCUGAGGUGAAGAACCUUCCAGAGGCUGGAUCUGCACA